This 434-nucleotide ribosomal RNA is filed under the name uncultured bacterium. RNAcentral describes it as "partial 16S ribosomal RNA". It matches the Rfam family "Bacterial small subunit ribosomal RNA", at positions 29 to 507 of the family's 1533-position model. The record is from RNAcentral.
AGCGAACGCUGGCGGCAGGCCUAACACAUGCAAGUCGAACGAACCUUUCGGGGUUAGUGGCGGACGGGUGAGUAACACGUGGGAACGUGCCUUUAGGUUCGGAAUAACUCAGGGAAACUUGUGCUAAUACCGAAUGUGCCCUUCGGGGGAAAGAUUUAUCGCCUUUAGAGCGGCCCGCGUCGGAUUAGCUAGUUGGUUGAGGUAAUGGCUCACCAAGGCGACGAUCAGUAGCUGGUCUGAGAGGAUGAUCAGCCACAUUGGGACUGAGACACGGCCCAAACUCCUACGGGAGGCAGCAGUGGGGAAUCUUGCGCAAUGGGCGAAAGCCUGACGCAGCCAUGCCGCGUGAAUGAUGAAGGUCUGAGGAUUGUAAAAUUCUUUCACCGGGGACGAUAAUGACGGUACCCGGAGAAGAAGCCCCGGCUAACUUCGUG